AUAUCACUGAUUUGUAAAAUACAAAUGCAACAGUGUAUAUAAAAUUUCUAAUGUGCUAUCUUAAUAAGAAAGUACUCAAAGAUGUGAAGUAAAGAAUCAUCACUGAGUGGAGGUCCUUUUCAGUUCAGUUCAGUUCAGUCACUCAGUCGUGUCCGACUCUUUGCGACCCCAUGGAUCACAGCACGCCAGGCCUCCCUGUCCAUCACCAACUCCCGGAGUUCACUCAAACUCACAUCCACUGAGUCGGUGAUGCCAUCCAGCCAUCUCAUCCUCUGUCACCCCCUUCUCUUCCAGCACCCAAUCCCUCCCAGCAUCAGAGUCUUUUCCAAUGAGUCAACUUUUCACAUGAGGUGGCCAAAGUACUGGAGUUUCAGCUUUAGCAUCAUUCCUUCCAAAGAACACCCAGGGCUGAUCUCCUUCAGAAUGGCCAGCCCUUUUCUCAGGAGCCCUGUCACUGGCACCAUCCCCACAGUUAAUCCCCUUAAUCCCCAUGAAUCCCACAUGCUCUGUAGUUGCCAAGUAUCCUACCAAUCUCAGGAAGUUACAGAGCUAAAGGCUAUUCUUGAGGAGCAGGUAACAAUGGGGAGCACUCACCCAACAUUCUGUGGUUACCUGGUACUUAAUAAUUUGAGAAGGCUCCACAGAGGCUCCCCCACCUCAACCUGGCACUCAGAGGAACUGCCACCUCACACCAUGAACACAACUCGGCACCAUGGGAAGCAGGGGAAGUGUUGGAGCACAGGUUACACCUCGAAGGCUCCGUGGAUUAGUGAGAUGCUCCGUGUGAAGGGUGGAAACCAUCGCCCGGGAUCCAGUCUCCGUAGGCCUGGGUUCAAAUCCUGGUUCAGCCUGUCAUCAUCACGGGAAGGAGCAGCCUCACGUCUCAUCCACCCGGGACUUGCGGGUGGUCUCUGCAUCUGGAAGCACCCCCUCCCGCUGCUGCUGUGCCCGUCACCUCCAGACACUCCCUCCUGCUCGUCUUCUGACUCCUGA
Molecule: long non-coding RNA, 993 nt
Filed under: Ovis aries (sheep)
Lineage: Eukaryota; Metazoa; Chordata; Mammalia; Artiodactyla; Bovidae
Description: lncRNA (ENSOARG00000026981.1)
Source: RNAcentral